RNAcentral lists this ribosomal RNA (517 nucleotides) under uncultured Acidobacteriota bacterium. RNAcentral's name for it is "bacterial SSU rRNA". It matches the Rfam family "Bacterial small subunit ribosomal RNA", at positions 386 to 896 of the family's 1533-position model. Lineage: Bacteria; Pseudomonadati; Acidobacteriota. The record is from RNAcentral.
ACCCAGCAACGCCGCGUGAAGGAUGAAAUCCUUCGGGAUGUAAACUCGCAAGAACAGGAAGAAUAAGUAAGAGUUAAUAUCUCUUACGAUGACGGUACUGUUUGUAAGCUCCGGCUAACUCCGUGCCAGCAGCCGCGGUAAUACGGGGGGAGCAAGCGUUGUUCGGAUUUACUGGGCGUAAAGGGCGCGUAGGCGGCCACCGCAAGUCGACUGUGAAAUCUCCGGGCUUAACCCGGAAAGGUCAGCCGAUACUGCGGGGCUAGAGUGCAGAAGGGGCAACUGGAAUUCUCGGUGUAGCGGUGAAAUGCGUAGAUAUCGAGAGGAACACCUGCGGCGAAGGCGGGUUGCUGGGCUGACACUGACGCUGAUGCGCGAAAGCUAGGGGAGCGAACGGGAUUAGAUACCCCGGUAGUCCUAGCCUUAAACGAUGAAUGCUUGGUGUCUGGGGUUUUAUAGUCCCCGGGUGCCGUCGCUAACGCUUUAAGCAUUCCGCCUGGGGAGUACGGUCGCAAGACUG